Molecule: ribosomal RNA, 160 nt
Filed under: uncultured fungus
Lineage: Eukaryota; Fungi
Description: 5.8S ribosomal RNA
Rfam family: 5.8S ribosomal RNA
About the family: 5.8S ribosomal RNA (5.8S rRNA) is a component of the large subunit of the eukaryotic ribosome. It is transcribed by RNA polymerase I as part of the 45S precursor that also contains 18S and 28S rRNA.
Source: RNAcentral
AACUUUCAACAACGGAUCUCUUGGCUUUCGCAUCGAUGAAGAACGCAGCGAAAGUGCGAAACGUAAUGUGAAUUGCAGAUUCAGUGAAUCAUCGAAUUUUUGAACGCAUCUUGCGCUUCCCAGGCCACACCCGGGAAGCAUGCCUGUUUGAGGGUCUCGA